RNAcentral lists this ribosomal RNA (486 nucleotides) under uncultured bacterium. Its description in RNAcentral is "partial 16S ribosomal RNA". It matches the Rfam family "Bacterial small subunit ribosomal RNA", at positions 29 to 507 of the family's 1533-position model. The record is from RNAcentral.
AAUGAACGCUGGCGGCAUGCCUUACACAUGCAAGUCGAACGGCAGCACGGGUGCUUGCACCUGGUGGCGAGUGGCGAACGGGUGAGUAAUACAUCGGAACAUUUCCUGUAGUGGGGGAUAGCCCGGCGAAAGCCGGAUUAAUACCGCAAACGAUCUACGGAUGAAAGCGGGGGACCUUCGGGCCUCGCGCUAUAGGGUUGGCCGAUGCCUGAUUAGCUAGUUGGGGGGGUAAAGGCCUACCAAGGCGACGAUCAGUAGCUGGUCUCAGAGGACGACCAGCCACACUAGGACUGAGACAGGGCCCAGACUCCUACGGGAGGCAGCAGUGGGGAAUUUUGGACAAUGGGCGAAAGCCUGAUCCAGCAAUGCCGCGUGUGUGAAGAAGGCCUUCGGUUUGUAAAGCACUUUUGUCCGGAAAGAAAUCCUUGGCCCUAAUACGGUCGGGGGAUGACGGUACCGGAAGAAUAAGCACCGGCUAACUACGUG